AGGACUAACGCUGGCGGCGUGCCUAACACAUGCAAGUCGAACGAAGUAGCAAUACUUAGUGGCAGACGGGUGAGUAACACGUAGUCAACCUGCCCUUCAAUGGGGGAUAACUAGCCGAAAGGUUAGCUAAUACCGCAUACGAUCUCUGAGUGGCAUCACUCGGCGAUGAAAGGAGUAAUCCGUUGAAGGAGGGGACUGCGUCCCAUUAGUUAGUUGGUGGGGUAAUGGCCUACCAAGACUCCGAUGGGUAGCUGGCUUGAGAGAGCGACCAGCCACACUGGAACUGAGACACGGUCCAGACUCCUACGGGAGGCAGCAGUGAGGAAUUUUCCGCAAUGGGGGAAACCCUGACGGAGCGACGCCGCGUGUGGGAGAAGGCCUUCGGGUCGUAAACCACUGUCGAGGGGGACGAGUAUUGACGGUACCCCGUGGAGGAAGCCCCGGCUAACUACGCGCCAGCAGCCGC
This 466-nucleotide ribosomal RNA is filed under the name uncultured bacterium. Its description in RNAcentral is "SSU rRNA". It matches the Rfam family "Bacterial small subunit ribosomal RNA", at positions 26 to 518 of the family's 1533-position model. The record is from RNAcentral.